Long non-coding RNA from Homo sapiens (human), 5326 nucleotides. Ensembl annotates it as PACRG antisense RNA 3. Its record names the gene PACRG-AS3. Lineage: Eukaryota; Metazoa; Chordata; Mammalia; Primates; Hominidae. The record is from Ensembl.
GAUUCAGUUAAAAACUGAAUUAACUGAAAUCAAUUCAACAACAACUGCCCCGGUGCUUCCCCGUAGAUAGCACCGCUGUUGUUUCAGGAACACAGUCAUCCCUCAGAAAUGGAUUGGGUGACAAGUGGUCUGCAUGCUGCACACGGGCACUGGGUGAGUGUGCUUGGAGCUGUUUGUCAGGACAUCAUCAGCAAUAGACAGAACACGAGGGAAGUAAUCAGUGAAAGAAGACGAAGUUGUUAAGUUGUUUCUGACUUUAUCUUUGGAGCGGGCUCACAGAACAUUUGAGUGGGCUUUUUGGUAUAAGAGAAAGAGCCCUACACUUUUGCCCAAUUCUAGUUCUAGGCUCCAAAACAAAUUUUACUAGGGUUCUGAACUGACGGGUUAGACUGUUUUUGUUAACUUUUAUUCUUAUAAAUAUUUUUGGCCAUUGCAGUCCAAUCAGAAGAAAAGUAGAAAGCAGGUCAUUUUUACCUUCUCUAAGAAAAGAAAUCCAAAAUUUACAGGAAAGCCCAUUCUUGAAAGUCCCUUGUGCUGCUAGGCAGGGCCUUUCGAUUAUUUUCAGACAGAUGUUGAACCUUCAGAAUUUCCUCCGUGCAUCGGGGUCACUGACUACUUGUGUCUAAUGCAACUCUGCACUAACUAGAUUGUGCGCCGACCUCUAUUUUCACUUUCAAACCUCAUAUUCCAACGUUGCUCAAGGUUGACUGUCACUGACUGGGCUUUUCUUUACGACUGUACUUAUGAAGAACAAAUGUACUUGUAAAUGUUUGGGGACUUCAAAUUUAGUUUACAAAUGUGUAGUCCUCAUUGAAGAUUCGAUUUGUAUUAUAUUUAGGCAAGUUUUCUGGCUCUUAAUGGGGUCCUAAUGAGUCACCGAUGGUAAGGCUUCAGAUUCAGACCUUCCUGUUAGGAUGGGGAUGAGCUGUUUGUCCUCAUUUGCCAAUUAUUUGGAAGAGAAAACCAAUGUAAUGCAAUCGGAAUCCAGUUGUAUUAUUAAGACCCGCAUUUGAAACCUAGUUUCUUCUAUCAGAAGUAAUUUUUCUGAUUUUUGGAUUAUGUACUUCUCCUUCAUAUAAAUGAAUGUUACUGCUUUUGUGGUGUUACCAGACCUAGCUUAUAGAAAUAAAUGACAGGCCACCUGGGGGUCUGCCCGUGCAAGCAUGAACUAAGCAGCAACAAGCAGUAUGCCCUGCGGUGACCAGUGUGUCAGCAUUCACAUAAGCCCGGGACAGUGAAUGCGGGCCCUUGUCAGUCACGGGCAUCAGGCGCAUGGCACUGGGCACAGCUGACUGCCUGUUGAUGCUGAUGGCUGGAUGGCUGCAUUUAAGUACACUUUCACAAAACUCAUUUGUAUCUCUUCCCGAAGAAACCUAAAUGGAAUUAAUUUGUUGGAGGGCUGCAAUGUAAAAUUUUUAAAUAGAGAACAAAAUGGAGUAUGUUGCUGUUUCAUGGAAGAGAACACGGGAGAAACUAGCAAUCUGUAAGCUAAAAAUUGAUGGCAGCCCCUGCCACAAUGAAUAAUUGGCAAUGCCAUUCAGCCUUUAAAGGUAUCAGAUAAUGAAUAAGCUGGGCAUAAGGCAUCUAGUUCCCUUCCAUUAUUCUCCAAUAGGUUAUGUAAUAAACAUCCAUCCCUGAAAGAUAAUUCUGUUUUUCAUUGUUCUGUAAGAGAAGAUAAUUCUCUCUUUUUUUAAAUUGUCCUGGAAGACAUUCUUAAAACACCUUGUUAACAAACUGGCUAAAUGUCCACCUACAGAAUUGCACUAACUAAAACCAAAAUUAGUCAUUAGAGCUGUUAUGCAUUUGUCAGCAAAUCCCUUAUGUCCAUCUCAUGCCUGACUUUUCUUUAACAAAACUAUGUUAUACGUAGAACUUAGCAGUACAGAUGAUGCCUGCUUUGAUCAUACAAACGGGCUUUAUACAUGAAUUGUAAUUUCCACUUUAAUUUGUUUUUGCGAAAUCUUUCCUGCAGUAUCAUUCCAUCUCAGCAUUCCCCAACCACCUUUGACAUUUUAAUCAAUUAUCCUCUCAUGUCUUGUUAGGCCACAAACGUAUGGGCUCUAUUUUUUCAAAGAAAAGUAUGUUGGUCACUUACAAGAUGGAUCCAAAUGUAAAAGAUGUUUUUCACGUUCUAGCGUACAUUCCUAAUUGUUCUUAGUCAAUGUCUGCAAAUGAAUAGUAUGUGGAAAUAUCCUAAGCCCAUGCUUGCUUUGUACAAAGGAAUCCUUUCCCCUCUACUGAAUGCUAUCUGGAUGGGCAAUGACGACAGUUUUUCAGAUCUCAAACACAACAGAACGACACACCAAGUCAGACAUGAACUAAACUGCAAUUGUAACUACUGAGGGAAUUUUUAUGCAGAUUAUGUAACAAAAAUGAAACUAGACAAAGUGUGAGAAAGGCCACUAAAAUAAAACGGUCAGGCCACGCUUUAGAACUGUAGAAUCAAAGAGUCUUCACCUUUCUAGGCUGGAGACGACCUUCUCACUCACGGACCAAACCCUUGGUGUGACCUCUAUUUCCCAAGAGAUGAGCCUUCAGGCCUGAGGAUCAGUGGCCUGAUUCUUAUAAAGGAGACGGUGGACUCACAAAGGCAUCACGUCAGUAUUUUAACAAGCUCACCUCUAAGAGAUGACGUUAGAUUUUCUACUGUAGCUUCGGGGGCUUAAAUAGACACUCCUUAAUUUAGAGUUAGUAAGCUCAAUCAUUUUGAUCAGGUACAGGUUUUUAGCAACAACUGUCAUCAAAACAGGUUUUCCAGUAGCAAAUGAAUUUGAUACUGACUAAACAUUUGGUAAAAGAUGACUAUGCACAUGCCAAAGAAAAGAGUGACUUGGGAGAGCUUUUUCUAUACAAAGAAUGGUUGACUUGGGGCUCCUGCCUCCCCGAUGUUCUGAUGCAAACCAGUCCUGUGUGUGGGGACUCUAUUUGCACAGAUCACAUAGUUCCCUGUAGGAAAAGAUACUCAUAUAAACCCACACAACUCCAACAUAGCUCAACAAGUAGAAUUUUAAAAACUAAUAUUGUAAGGGGUGUUUCAAAGAGAUAUGCUCAUUUUGGGACUUUUUAACUCUCCCCUCAUGUUUCCUGCCUUGUUGAAGAGUGGACAAUUUAUUUGGUAUUGACUUAGUGUGAGGCAUGCCCUAGACCCGAGGAAUAUAAAGGGGACUGGGAGAAAGCCCGGCCUCCCUGGAGCUCUUCACGUGAUGACAGGCGCAGAUCAGCGGACAGGCGCGUAACAGGAGGUGCUAAGUGCGCAGGUGGGGUCACGUGCCGCGUCACAGCAGUGCUGGAGGAGAGUCCUGACUCAUGGCCUGGGAUGCUGGGGUUCCUCCCCAGAGAAGCUCUUUUGGACCUGGGAGAAGGAGUAGGACUUUGAUACACCAUGGAGGUCUCUGAAUGUAACCAAAUUGUUCUCCUCUUAUCAUUCCCAUUCACUGGUGUACUUGUUUGUGGAGCCUGCAGAACUGCCUUUUUCAAGAAUGGCAGCUUGGCCUCUAAAUCUGCUUCCCACUGAUGGGAAGAGCUGACAGAAGCUUUAGAGAGGCACAGGGUGAGUUCCUAAAACCAGAGUCAACACACACUCUUCAUCUGUUUUGUGCUUCACUCCCUGCUCAUCUUCCUAAAACACUGAGUUUGGUCAUAUCAUGUCCUACAAGUUGUCAAUGAUUUCCCAUGAUCUUGUCUUCAGGAUAAAGUUCCUUAGUCAAAAGCAAUGAAGACCUGACCUAAUCUGUAAGGCAAAAUCAACACUUUUUAGCCUGGCCUUCCAUGCCCUUCCAUGCCCUUCGAGCCCCCAGAGCACCCAUGGCAGUCCAUCUCUCUCUACUUGUCCAGAGGGACACUCUCUUAGAGCCAGUGGCUCCUACUCACGGUUCCCCGAACACGUCGUGGGAAUGUUUGCCUUCAUACCUUCCCAGAUCAUUUUCCUGAUCUCAGACACCCUCCGUCCUCAUUCAUUCACUCUUCAAUUGUCCAACAAAUAUUUGUUGCUCAUGCAACCUGGAUCACCCACAUAGUUUCAAGACUGCAUCUUCUAAACUAUUUAAAUCCUAUCCAUUCUUCAAGAAAUGUUUCAUGACGCUUCCUUAACUGCUAAGGACCCGCAGAUUCUCUUCCUCUUGGGACUCACACACUGACUCAUCUCCCGAUCUUUUGGUGCUCAGCAAAGUGGAGGCUUCUGUUUUGGACUUAGAGUCAAGACCAUUAAAUAAGACUAUGCUCUAAAAAGUACACCUCCGUGGCCCGGAACGAGUGAAUUAACAUCUAUGAGUUUCCAUUUCCUUGUCUAUAAAAUUGUGAAAUUGCAACUUAAGAUUAGUUCUGAAGAUUAAAUGAGGUAACAUAGGUGAAAAUGCUACAUUUAUGUAAGAAAUUACUCUUUCAUAAGGAUGUCAAUGUUUAAAUACGCAUUUUCUCAAUUUUGUUAAUGAAAUACUUUGAAAUUCUUUUUUCUAAUGAAACCUGCUGAAUGUAAAAGAGACCCGUACUAAAGAAAGAUACCACAUGAAGCACCAAGGGUCUCUUUCUGGAUCUAUCAUGACUCUUGUGACUGUUUCAGCAGCACAGAAAUUAAAGGCGAUUGUUAUUCUGGAGGAAGACAAUGAGUCUCAUCUAUAUCUUGUUUGGGUUGAUUUUGUAAACAGAACAUUCCAAAGAUCAUUCUUGCCUUUUGUUUCCACUGAGAACUAGAAUAAAGUAAAACAAACUAUCAAUUUAAGGAAAGCCUCGAAAUUGUUAGCAAUUUCUUCAGUAACUUUCAUCCAUCAACUGAUUUUAUGAACACAAAUUUGCAGAAAUGGGCAAGAAAAACUACUUAACUCAUUGGUGGGAAGCAGUGGGCUCUCUAAGGAGGGAGAGAUAGCAGUGAUUUCACCACCGGACCGUGGAACACAAAGAGCCUGGAAGAGUCUAUCACUUUCAACUGAAACCGCAAGAAGAACUAAGUAGGUUAAGCCCUAAGAAUGUUCCUAGGUAACCUACUUGAGUUGAAAUUUGACUAAGAAUCCUUACACCCUACCUAAGAGAGGUAACGCUAUUAGGAUCGGAAGUGAUUGGAAGCUUUGUUUCAGAUCUCGUCCAAAAGGGAGAACGGUCAAUGACAAAGCUGCUGUGAAUAGUAUUCUGGGGGCGUGGUGGAACCCCGAUUCACUGCUAUCUCCCGAAUCAGCAACUUGACAGAGCGCGCCUCCCGGGCCUUGGAAGCCUUCCAUUCCGAGCUGGCUGGGUGGGACUCAGGUUUUACGGUAUGCUGGACUUUUUCCCCGUGAGUUAAAACACAUUUAUAGUAACUAAGUGGUUAAUGAUGAGAAAAAACCCCAAACUACUG